Molecule: long non-coding RNA, 1239 nt
Organism: Artibeus jamaicensis (Jamaican fruit-eating bat)
Lineage: Eukaryota; Metazoa; Chordata; Mammalia; Chiroptera; Phyllostomidae
Exons: 4
Source: RefSeq, a predicted model, not a curated record
GGGGUGGGCAGAGGUGCAGUCAGUUUAAGAUGAACCUGUGUUGGAUGUAGGAAGAAUUGGAAGGGAAGGGGUUUAGAAGCAGAGAUUCCAGUUUGCAAGUUGUGGUAAACUCUGGGGGUGAGGCGUGGGGAUAAUGCCCCUGAAUUUACGUGAUGAUGAUAACAAAGAGGGGGCAUUUUAUCAAGAGAGUCGUACAUGGCACUUCCUGUCCUUUCUGGGUUUAAGUUCACAGCAGGUGACCGAUCCUUCCAACAGCGCUUGAAGAGGCACACGGGCCAGUUUCUGACUUCCAUCUCGAGCGCAGAGGGUGCUAUGUGAUACGAGAGUUUCUCUGGAGAAAUCAUCACGAUCUCCUUAUUUCUGUCACCCCUCGCACUGUUUUAAAGCGUUUGCAAUAACAGUGAUUUCAUGGACUCCUCACCUCCUCCCCAUGAGGUAGGUGGAGCAGGCUUUCUUAUCACCUUGUGCAGCUGAAGAGACCGGGGCUCCAUCUGAGAGGUGACAUGACUCAACACAGGUCGCAUGGCUCAUAAGCAGCUGAACUGUAGCUGGAAUCCACGUCUCCUGACAAAUGGAAAUAGUGGAGAACAACGCGAUCUGCAGCCUAGAGACCCCUGCACCCCACACAGUCUCUCUGCACGUCGAAACCUGGGCCCGGCGGUUGGAAAGGCAACCCAGAGUAAAGGGCCAAUUCCAGCAGACGCCCCACAAGUAGGGUGAGAGUUGAAAGGUCGAAAGGGCGCUGCUCCCGCCUGCGAGUCCAGCCUCAGCUCUGCACUGAUAUCUGAGAACACCUUGAACCACUCAAGGUGCACCUCCAUUUCCUCAUCUGCAGCAGGAAGCCUGGAUUAGAUAAUGUCUCAGCCGCCUUCCUGAUAACCUGAAAGGAACUUGCUCCAGGACAACGGUGACACAAUAUGUACGGGCGGUCUCUAAAACCUUUUUCUAUGAAAAAUUUCAAACAAAUUUUAAACCCAACAAAACAAUAUAACGAGCCCGCACAGGUGCUUCGUGGACCUCGGCAAUGGUCUGGUUUUAUCCCCACCGCCCCCCGCACUGGGGGCUUAUCCGUGGAGUUCUUUUUUAGGUGGACGUCACACGCAUUGGGAGGCAGAAAUCUUAACUGUGUGAUACUGACAAAUGGAUUUGCCCGUGUAAACUGUACAUCUAUCACUUUCCUAGAAAGUUCUCUCAUGUCUGUCAAAGACAAAUGUAUGGCUGACCUUAUUAAACAAUAAA